AAACUACAGACGGAGUGGAGGCAGAGAUUGAAGGAACACGGGUUUGGUGGGCCUUGAAGGGCAGCGUGCAGUCUAGUAUCGUUCUAAGAAGCACAGGAUUCUCCGCUGAGAAUUCUCUUCUACGAAGGGUUGACCACAACAGCCACCUUACAUCUCUUUAUCAUCACUCAGGCUGAGAGUUCGAUCCUUUGUCUCCAUAAUGAUUUGAACACGAGCAUCCUAGACCUGUGUGAGGGGAUACUUAAAAUCCAGAUAUGCAAUAUGUAUGCAGGGCCGCCACGCCAGUGUGAAGUUUGCUGUCACACUUGAAUGCAGCUCAUGAACUGAAAAGAUAACCAAGCUCAUCUACUUUCAAAUGAAGUA
Long non-coding RNA from Alligator sinensis (Chinese alligator), 363 nucleotides. RefSeq lists it as uncharacterized. NCBI's taxonomy places the organism in Eukaryota, Metazoa, Chordata, Crocodylia, Alligatoridae. The record is from RefSeq and is a predicted model, not a curated record. The transcript is spliced from 4 exons.